Molecule: transfer RNA, 85 nt
Filed under: Felis catus (domestic cat)
Lineage: Eukaryota; Metazoa; Chordata; Mammalia; Carnivora; Felidae
Also listed under: 1 other name
Rfam family: tRNA
About the family: Transfer RNA (tRNA) molecules are approximately 80 nucleotides in length. Their secondary structure includes four short double-helical elements and three loops (D, anti-codon, and T loops). Further hydrogen bonds mediate the characteristic L-shaped molecular structure. tRNAs have two regions of fundamental functional importance: the anti-codon, which is responsible for specific mRNA codon recognition, and the 3' end, to which the tRNAs corresponding amino acid is attached (by aminoacyl-tRNA synthetases). tRNAs cope with the degeneracy of the genetic code in two manners: having more than one tRNA (with a specific anti-codon) for a particular amino acid; and 'wobble' base-pairing, i.e. permitting non-standard base-pairing at the 3rd anti-codon position.
Source: Rfam by way of RNAcentral
ACCUGGGUGGCUCAGUCGGUUAAGCAUCUGACUUUGGCUCAGGUGAGGAUCUCACGGUUCGUGGGUUCGAGCCCCACGUCGGGUU